RNAcentral lists this ribosomal RNA (913 nucleotides) under uncultured compost archaeon. RNAcentral describes it as "bacterial SSU rRNA". It matches the Rfam family "Archaeal small subunit ribosomal RNA", at positions 1 to 922 of the family's 1478-position model. The record is from RNAcentral.
UUCCGGUUGAUCCCGCCGGAGGUCACUGCUAUCGGGGUUCGAUUAAGCCAUGCGAGUCGAGAGGGUUCAGACCCUCGGCGGACUGCUCAGUAACACGUGGAUAAUCUGCCCUAUGGUGGAGGAUAACCCCGGGAAACUGGGGAUAAUACUCCAUAAGUCAGGAGUACUGGAACGUCUCCUAACUGAAAGUUUCGGCGCCAUAGGAUGAAUCUGCGGCCGAUUAGGUAGUUGUUGGGGUAACGGCCCAACAAGCCCGUAAUCGGUACGGGUUGUGGGAGCAAGAGCCCGGAGAUGGAAUCUGAGACACGAUUCCAGGCCCUACGGGGCGCAGCAGGCGCGAAAACUUUACAGUGCAGGAAACUGUGAUAAGGGAACCCCGAGUGCCCGUACACGCGGGCUGUCCCGGUGUUUAAAACACAUCGGAAGAAAGGGCCGGGCAAGACCGGUGCCAGCCGCCGCGAUAAUACCGGCGGCUCGAGUGGUGACCACUUUUAUUGGGCUUAAAGCGUUCGUAGCUUGAUUUUUAAGUCUCUUGGGAAAUCUCACGGCUUAACUGUGAGGCGUCUAAGAGAUACUGGGAAUCUAGGGACCGGGAGAGGUAAGAGGUACUUCAGGGGUAGAAGUGAAAUUCUGUAAUCCUUGAGGGACCACCGAUGGCGAAGGCAUCUUACCAGAACGGCUUCGACAGUGAGGAACGAAAGCUGGGGGAGCGAACGGGAUUAGAUACCCCGGUAGUCCCAGCCGUAAACUAUGCGCGUUAGGUGUGCCUGUAACUACGAGUUACCGGGGUGCCGAAGUGAAAACGUGAAACGUGCCGCCUGGGAAGUACGGUCGCAAGGCUGAAACUUAAAGGAAUUGGCGGGGGAGCACCACAACGGGUGGAGCCUGCGGUUUAAUUGGAUUCAACGCCGGA